This 252-nucleotide ribosomal RNA is filed under the name uncultured bacterium. Its description in RNAcentral is "partial 16S ribosomal RNA". It matches the Rfam family "Bacterial small subunit ribosomal RNA", at positions 524 to 776 of the family's 1533-position model. The record is from RNAcentral.
UACAGAGGUCUCAAGCGUUGUUCGGAUUCAUUGGGCGUAAAGGGUGCGUAGGCGGCGCGGUAAGUCGGGUGUGAAAUCUCGGAGCUUAACUCCGAAACUGCAUUCGAUACUGCCGUGCUUGAGGACUGGAGAGGAGACUGGAAUUUACGGUGUAGCGGUGAAAUGCGUAGAUAUCGUAAGGAAGACCAGUAGCGAAGGCGGGUCUCUGGACAGUUCCUGACGCUGAGGCACGAAGGUCAGGGAGCAAACGGG